This 441-nucleotide ribosomal RNA is filed under the name uncultured Alphaproteobacteria bacterium. RNAcentral describes it as "bacterial SSU rRNA". It matches the Rfam family "Bacterial small subunit ribosomal RNA", at positions 1077 to 1533 of the family's 1533-position model. The record is from RNAcentral. Lineage: Bacteria; Pseudomonadati; Pseudomonadota; Alphaproteobacteria.
UGGGUAGUCCGCACGAGCGCACCUCGCCUUCAGUUGCCAUCAUUUAGUUGGGCACUCUGGAGGAACCGCCGGUGACAAGCCGGAGGAAGGUGGGGAUGACGUCAAGUCCUCAUGGCCCUUACGGGCUGGGCCACACACGUGCUACAAUGGCGGUUACAGUGGGCAGCAAACCCGCGAGGGUGAGCGAAUCCCCAAAAGCCGUCUCAGUUCGGAUUGCAGUCUGCAACUCGAGUACAUGAAGCUGGAAUUACUAGUAAUCGCGGAUCAGCGCGCCGCGGUGAAUACGUUCCCGGGUCUUGUACACACCGCCCGUCACACCAUGGAAAUUGGUUACACCUUAAGGCAAAGUGUAAAACCUUUGACUACGGUACGAUCAGCGACUGGGGUGAAGUCGUAACAAGGUAGCCGUAGGGGAACCUGCGGCUGGAUCACCUCCUUUCU